UACGUAGGGUGCAAGCGUUAAUCGGAAUUACUGGGCGUAAAGCGUGCGCAGGCGGUUCUAUAAGACAGAUGUGAAAUCCCCGGGCUCAACCUGGGAACUGCAUUUGUGACUGUAGAGCUGGAGUACGGCAGAGGGGGAUGGAAUUCCGCGUGUAGCAGUGAAAUGCGUAGAUAUCCGGAGGAACACCAAAGGCGAAGGCAGUGUCCUGGGGAGUACCUGACGCUCAGGUGCGAAAGCCAGGGGAGCGAACGGG
Molecule: ribosomal RNA, 253 nt
Filed under: uncultured bacterium
Lineage: Bacteria
Description: partial 16S ribosomal RNA
Rfam family: Bacterial small subunit ribosomal RNA
Source: RNAcentral